Molecule: long non-coding RNA, 897 nt
Organism: Passer domesticus (house sparrow)
Lineage: Eukaryota; Metazoa; Chordata; Aves; Passeriformes; Passeridae
Exons: 3
Source: RefSeq, a predicted model, not a curated record
AGGACUAAGAUGUGUAUGUCUGGCUAGUCCAACCAGGAUUACUUGUGGUGCAGCUGAGGACAAAGGAGGCCAAUUUGGGAGUCAUCAGGUUUCCUGGGUUCUUGUUGCUGGGUGACCACAUGCUGAAUUUGGAACUGCCUUUUGCACCCUUCAGGGACCCAGGUCUUUGAGUCAUUGAGCAAUGUUAUUGAUUGGCUGCCUGUCCUUUUGUCUCCUCUUCUGUGAAAAGUCUGUCUUCAGUUUUAUUUCUAGACAAGUCCAGUGUCUCACACAGGUGACAAGCUACAGAGGAUCCUGGGCUGAGGACUGUGCCUCUCACAAUGAAGUUACACCUGGAGGGAUUCUGUGCUGGUCAUUCUGACAGAGCAGCACCCAUUCCCCACCAGUGUAAACCAGCUCACUCACCUGUUCAAGCAUGAAUGGUACUUGGGGUUUCUUGGUGGCUUUUUAGUCAUGAAACUCAGUGCUAUGAACACUUUUGGAAGGAGGACAGUGAGAUGAAGCCUCUGGAAUGACUGUAAAUACAUUAGUGCUCCUUUGUAUACUGUUGCUGCAUUGAGUGUUACCCAAUAACAACAACAGUGCUGUACAGGCUUUGGAAGAGGAGUUUCUGAGCUCAGGAGAUUUAACUUUUCACAGCAGUAACUUUGCCAGUAUCAGCAGACUGCAAGGAAAAUUACUGGAAAUUAUUUGAAUGGAGCUGGAACUUGGCCUUGAAGAGUCACAGCUUCACUGUGCUGCCUGUGCCAGUGUCUCACCAUGUUCUCAGCUCUCUUCAGGGAUUAGCCCUGCAACACCAGGGAAUGACCACGCACUGCCCAAGGACUCCAGGCCCGUGUCUGCAGACCUUGGCCAGGGUCACCCCAAGGCAGGAGCAGGCAGGAGAACGUGACCAAA